UCGUCAGCUCGUGUCGUGAGAUGUUGGGUUAAGUCCCGCAACGAGCGCAACCCUUAAGCUUAGUUGCCAUCAUUAAGUUGGGCACUCUAAGUUGACUGCCGGUGACAAACCGGAGGAAGGUGGGGAUGACGUCAAAUCAUCAUGCCCCUUAUGAUUUGGGCUACACACGUGCUACAAUGGACAAUACAAAGGGCAGCUAAACCGCGAGGUCAAGCAAAUCCCAUAAAGUUGUUCUCAGUUCGGAUUGUAGUCUGCAACUCGACUACAUGAAGCUGGAAUCGCUAGUAAUCGUAGAUCAGCAUGCUACGGUGAAUACGUUCCCGGGUCUUGUACACACCGCCCGUCACACCACGAGAGUUUGUAACACCCGAAGCCGGUGGAGUAACCAUUUAUGGAGCUAGCCGUCGAAGGUGGGACAAAUGAUUGGGGUGAAGUCGUAACAAGGUAGCCGUAUCGGAAGGUGCGGCUGGAUCACCUCCUUUCUA
This 485-nucleotide ribosomal RNA is filed under the name Escherichia coli. Its description in RNAcentral is "bacterial SSU rRNA". It matches the Rfam family "Bacterial small subunit ribosomal RNA", at positions 1052 to 1533 of the family's 1533-position model. Lineage: Bacteria; Pseudomonadati; Pseudomonadota; Gammaproteobacteria; Enterobacterales; Enterobacteriaceae. The record is from RNAcentral.